RNAcentral lists this unclassified non-coding RNA (229 nucleotides) under uncultured fungus. RNAcentral's name for it is "sequence contains ITS1, 5.8S rRNA gene". The stretch from base 181 to 229 matches the Rfam family "5.8S ribosomal RNA", at positions 1 to 49 of the family's 154-position model. The record is from RNAcentral. Lineage: Eukaryota; Fungi.
UCUCCGUAGGUGAACCUGCGGAGGGAUCAUUACUGAGUGAGGGCCUUCGGGCUCGACCUCCAACCCUUUGUGAACACAACUUGUUGCUUCGGGGGCGACCUUGCCGUCCGCGGUUGAGCGCCCCCGGGGUCAAUCAAACCCUGCGUAACUAAGUCGUCGGAGUUUAAACAAAUUAAACAAAACUUUCAACAACGAAUCUCUUGGUUCGGGCAUCGAUGAAGAACGCAGC